AAGAAAUCAUUUUGUCUUCGUAGUUGAAAUGUAUUUGCUUGACUGUUUCGUGAGCCCACUGUCAUAGUUAAAACAUAAGAAACUAAAGACAUUUAUCUUUGCUUUCGUUCACCUCCUCUUAUGUAAACCAAUAAACAUGUCACAUAUAUUUUAUAAAAAAAAAUUUAAAUCAAAAGAAAAAAACAAAACUAAAAUCAUAAACGAAAGAGUCACCUUCUUCGUUCUUUACUUUUUAGAUUUUUCAUUAACGAUUUCAGUCGUUUUUUCUGAGACCAACACUCUAUAAUUCUAGAG
Molecule: long non-coding RNA, 294 nt
Filed under: Capsella rubella
Lineage: Eukaryota; Viridiplantae; Streptophyta; Magnoliopsida; Brassicales; Brassicaceae
Description: long non-coding RNA (CRUB_LNC002602)
Source: RNAcentral